Small nucleolar RNA from Neogale vison (American mink), 116 nucleotides. NCBI's taxonomy places the organism in Eukaryota, Metazoa, Chordata, Mammalia, Carnivora, Mustelidae. The record is from Ensembl.
CCUGCGCACUGCCAGGGCUCACAGCCAGUGGGCUACCCGAAGGACAAGUCCUCCACUAACACCACAAGGGGCUCCUGCCCACUUAGCAGACUUUAAUAGGAAUUCUUGCUUUAAGG